GGAUGUGAGGGUGACCUGGCUGAGACAUCUGUCACCCCACUGACUGCCAGGGUUAAGUAGGCUGAUCUGGCUGGCUAGAAGGGUGUCCCCUCUCUCCUUCCCCACUCCAUGUGCAUCCCUCCCGAAGUCGCACCUUCAGUGGAAGAGGACGCCCUUCCCCAAAUCGAGUCAGACCAGUUUUUUUUUUUAUUAUUCAAGGGUAGACUAAGAGUAGCUGUGCUCCCCUGCUAGAACCUCCAGCCAAGCUCUCAAGGAUCCCUUUCUGGCAUCUUGGUUACAUGAUUUAUUUCUUUAGACAACUGUUCUUUACAGAAAAAGCAAUGGUU
RNAcentral lists this small nuclear RNA (326 nucleotides) under Erinaceus europaeus (western European hedgehog). RNAcentral's name for it is "7SK RNA". It matches the Rfam family "7SK RNA". Rfam says of the family: 7SK was discovered as an abundant small nuclear RNA in the mid-70s but a possible function has only recently been suggested. The record is from Rfam by way of RNAcentral. Lineage: Eukaryota; Metazoa; Chordata; Mammalia; Eulipotyphla; Erinaceidae.